AUUGAACGCUGGCGGCAUGCCUUACACAUGCAAGUCGAACGGCAGCACGGGUGCUUGCACCUGGUGGCGAGUGGCGAACGGGUGAGUAAUACAUCGGAACGUACCUUAUCGUGGGGGAUAACGCAGCGAAAGCUGUGCUAAUACCGCAUACGCCCUGAGGGGGAAAGCGGGGGAUCGCAAGACCUCGCGCGAUUAGAGCGGCCGAUGCCUGAUUAGCUAGUUGGGGGGGUAAAAGCCCACCAAGGCGACGAUCAGUAGCUGGUCUGAGAGGACGAUCAGCCACACUGGGACUGAGACACGGCCCAGACUCCUACGGGAGGCAGCAGUGGGGAAUUUUGGACAAUGGGGGCAACCCUGCUCCAGCAAUGCCGCGUGAGUGAAGAAGGCCUUCGGGUUGUAAAGCUCUUUUGUCAGGGAAGAAACACCGGCUCUAACACAGUCCGGGAGUGACGGUACCUGAAGAAUAAGCACCGGCUAACUACGUGCCAGCCGCCGCAGUAA
RNAcentral lists this ribosomal RNA (501 nucleotides) under uncultured bacterium. Its description in RNAcentral is "partial 16S ribosomal RNA". It matches the Rfam family "Bacterial small subunit ribosomal RNA", at positions 29 to 523 of the family's 1533-position model. The record is from RNAcentral.